GCAUUCACUUUAAAUAGGGCUCCGUCGAAAUCCGUUGAGACGACACCGUAUGAAUUAUGGUUUGGGAAGAAACCUAAGCUGUCGUUUCUAAAAGUUUGGGGAUGCGAUGCUUACGUGAAGAAACUUCAACCUGAAAAGCUCGAACCCAAAUCGGAAAAAUGCGUCUUCAUAGGAUACCCUAAAGAAACUAUUGGGUAUACCUUCUACCUCGGAUCCGAAGGCAAGAUCUUUGUUGCCAAGAAUGGAUCCUUUCUAGAGAAAGAGUUUCUCUCGAAAGAAGUAAGUGGGAGGAAAGUAGAACUUGAUGAACUAUUGCCUCUUGAACCGGAGAGUGGCGCAGCUCAGGAAAAUGUUCCUAAGGUGCCUGCACCGACUAGAGAGGAACUUAAU
RNAcentral lists this ribosomal RNA (390 nucleotides) under Triticum aestivum (bread wheat). RNAcentral describes it as "partial small subunit ribosomal RNA". The record is from RNAcentral. Lineage: Eukaryota; Viridiplantae; Streptophyta; Magnoliopsida; Poales; Poaceae.